GCACUACUGACGAGUCUCACAAUAGGACCAAACGACCGUCCAGUGC
Schistosoma mansoni is the source of this 46-nucleotide non-coding RNA. The record is from Rfam. Lineage: Eukaryota; Metazoa; Platyhelminthes; Trematoda; Strigeidida; Schistosomatidae.